UACGAAGGGGGCUAGCGUUGCUCGGAAUCACUGGGCGUAAAGCGCACGUAGGCGGGUCGUUAAGUCGGUGGUGAAAUCCUGGAGCUCAACUCCAGAACUGCCUUCGAUACUGGCGACCUUGAGUCCGGGAGAGGUGAGUGGAACUCCGAGUGUAGAGGUGAAAUUCGUAGAUAUUCGGAAGAACACCAGUGGCGAAGGCGGCUCACUGGCCCGGUACUGACGCUGAGGUGCGAAAGCGUGGGGAGCAAACAGG
RNAcentral lists this ribosomal RNA (253 nucleotides) under uncultured bacterium. RNAcentral's name for it is "partial 16S ribosomal RNA". It matches the Rfam family "Bacterial small subunit ribosomal RNA", at positions 524 to 776 of the family's 1533-position model. The record is from RNAcentral.